This 304-nucleotide non-coding RNA is filed under the name Drosophila ananassae. RNAcentral describes it as "Eukaryotic large subunit ribosomal RNA". It matches the Rfam family "Eukaryotic large subunit ribosomal RNA", at positions 2096 to 2578 of the family's 3401-position model. Lineage: Eukaryota; Metazoa; Arthropoda; Insecta; Diptera; Drosophilidae. The record is from Rfam by way of RNAcentral.
UUAAACAAGAUCGGAGAGAUCCGAGACAUACACCUGUCCCUAUCUACUAUCUAGCGAAACCACAGCCAAGGGAACGGGCUUGGAAUAAUUAGCGGGGAAAGAAGACCUUUUGAGCUUGACUCUAUUCUGGCAGUGGUAUGAGACAUGAGAAGUUGUAAAUAAAGGGGAAGAUAUAGAACUUCGGUUUGGUAUCGCCAAUGAAAAACCCCACUCUUAUUGUUUCCUUACUUUCCUUGAUUAAAUGGAACGUGUAUCAUUUCCAAGCCAUUAUAACGGAAAUUUUUUUUUAUUUUUUUAGGGAAUU